RNAcentral lists this long non-coding RNA (1323 nucleotides) under Capsicum annuum. RNAcentral's name for it is "long non-coding RNA (CANN_LNC020972)". The record is from RNAcentral. Lineage: Eukaryota; Viridiplantae; Streptophyta; Magnoliopsida; Solanales; Solanaceae.
AAAAUCUCAUCUACCAAAACUAAUUACAAAUAUCUCAUUUUUUACACUUUCUCUCUUCAACCUCCAUAUACAUAUCCAUAUACACAUCACACCUCCAUAAUUUAUGUCUAAAAUCAAGCAACCAUAAUUAAGAGAUUACAAGGUUUGAAUUUACAAACCUUAUCUUAUCAAAUUGUUGAACAUCAUCAUCUUCAAAUUAUUAUUGAGGUUAGUUUAAUUUUUUAAUUUUUUUUUAUUUUACUAAAUCAAAAAUCUACGAGUUAUUUGUUGCAUGUGUGUAAUUUCCAAACCUUAAGCAUAGAAAUGGAGUCUAGUUCGAGUUUUAGAGAAAAAAGAUCAAAACACUGAAAUGAUGCCGCCAAGAUGAAGAAGCUGAGGGAAGUUACCCGUACAAGCUCUAAAAAGUCCGUUGCUAAACCUUCAAGUAAGAUAAAAAGUGAAGAAUCAUCACGACCGCAUAUUUCAAAGGUAUAGUGAUUUGUUGAUGAAUCUGUAUUUUUUGUCGAUUUAUGCAUUCUUAUACAUUGUUAUAUAGGAGCGUUUUGUUGUUAUUUCAACCUUAUAUAUAAAUUAGUUAUGUAUAGUGUUAGAGACGUCUUCUUAUACAUUAAAUUUGUUAUAUAUACCAAUAAUCGAAUACUUUUAUCUGUAAAUACUGCAUAUUUGAUUUCAUCCAUAAAUCGAUUUUCUUCCAUGGUCUGAUUACUUAGUAAAUUCAUGUUGUUAGUUUGAACUAUGAUACAUAGCGAGUUAUGUAUAUAUUUGUAGUUAUGUUAUUUGUUGGACGUUUAAUUUCAACUCAUAUACAUAAAUCUGUUAUGUAUAUGUAUUGAAACAAUUAUUGUUGGGUUGUUUAAUUUCAGGUGAUAUACAUUACAGAGUUAUCUAUAUGUUAUGCAUCAAUAGUGUUAUACAUAACACAGUUAUGUAUAUGACUCUGUUAGAUAAGACGAGUUGUGUAUAUUUCAACCUAUAUACAUAGCAGUGUUUUGUAUAUGAAAGAACAUUAGACAUAUAUAUGAUGUUAUCUUUAUAUUUUCAAGUUGUGUUUCAUAUUGUUAUGUAUAUAUGAUGCCUAAGAUGUAUAUUUUGGAAACCUAUAUGUAUAAGGGUUAGUGUUCACUGUUGUCGUGUUCUUCAAAUUUUAUAGGAACCCAUUUUUUUGUUUCAAUUUUUUCAUACUUACAUAGUAAUAUUUCUUUUAUAUAUAGACUAGAUAAUAAAAAAUUUCGUAGACUUAUAUAGUAAUUUUAUUUUUUUACAAGUCUUUUUUUUCGUUUUAAAAUUUUCUAUGUCCCUUUUAUUUUACAAGAGCCUUUUUUC